GUGAAAUAGAGGUGAUUGCCACAGAAAACUGCCGUGUGGAGACCAAUUAAUAACAACAAAGACCGAUUGGUGACUCUGGAGGAAUUCCUGAGAGCUACAGAGAAGAAAGAAUUCCUGGAGCUCGAUAGCUGGGAGACACUGGAUCAGCAACAGUUAUUCACUGAGGAAGAGCUUAAAGGGUAUGAAAGUAUGAUUGCUAUGCAAGAGAACAAGCUUAAGAAGAGGGCAGACGAGCUGCAGAAGCAGAAGGAGGAGCUGCAGCGCCAGCACGACCACCUUGAGGCCCAGAAGCAGGAGUGUCAGCAGGCUGUACUGGAACUGAAGAAACUACAACAAGGCAUUGCUCCAUCAAGGCCAGCAGGAGAGCUGAAGUUUGAGCCACACACAUAAAGUCCUGAUGUCUGCCAGAACUUGGAAGAAAACCGUUGACUCAACAUCUGUUUCAUCUUUCAACAUUCCUUCUUUUCUCUCCACUCAAUAAAUACUUUAAAGCACAAUUGGAAUAAAGGAAGAGACUUUUAAGUA
Long non-coding RNA from Grammomys surdaster, 525 nucleotides. RefSeq lists it as uncharacterized. The record is from RefSeq and is a predicted model, not a curated record. NCBI's taxonomy places the organism in Eukaryota, Metazoa, Chordata, Mammalia, Rodentia, Muridae. The transcript is spliced from 2 exons.